Molecule: ribosomal RNA, 433 nt
Filed under: uncultured bacterium
Lineage: Bacteria
Description: partial 16S ribosomal RNA
Rfam family: Bacterial small subunit ribosomal RNA
Source: RNAcentral
AACGAACGCUGGCGGCAUGCCUAACACAUGCAAGUCGAACGAGACCUUCGGGUCUAGUGGCGCACGGGUGCGUAACGCGUGGGAACCUGCCCUUAGGUUCGGAAUAACUCCCCGAAAGGGGUGCUAAUACCGGAUAAUGUCUUCGGACCAAAGAUUUAUCGCCUUUGGAUGGGCCCGCGUUGGAUUAGCUAGUUGGUAGGGUAAAAGCCUACCAGGGCGACGAUCCAUAGCUGGUCUGAGAGGAUGAUCAGCCACACUGGGACUGAGACACGGCCCAGACUCCUACGGGAGGCAGCAGUGGGGAAUAUUGGACAAUGGGCGAAAGCCUGAUCCAGCAAUGCCGCGUGAGUGAUGAAGGCCUUAGGGUUGUAAAGCUCUUUUACCCGGGAUGAUAAUGACAGUACCGGGAGAAUAAGCGCCGGCUAACUCCGUG